UCAGCCGGACAGGCGACAAGUUAGCCUGGCCUAACUUCAGAAGUGAGGCCAGGAUGACGAAGACCCCUGCGGCGGUGCCGACCGGCCGGCUGAUC
Molecule: transfer RNA, 95 nt
Filed under: Micromonospora gifhornensis
Lineage: Bacteria; Bacillati; Actinomycetota; Actinomycetes; Micromonosporales; Micromonosporaceae
Description: tRNA-Leu
Source: RNAcentral